UGAAUGUCUAUGACGUUAAGGCAAACUUUCUAGAUAUGCACUAUAUGUACAUCAAAGAAAACACUGCUUAAAUUAUAUUCUUCAAAGAUUUGAAUAAGUACAACACAUAGGAAGAAAUUAUCUGUAAUAUCCAUCAUGUUAAAUCUGUCACAGUUAUUUUAUGAGCACCAUGCUGAUGUUACUGCUGUGGUAAAAACCUAAAAAAAAAUUGUGACUGAAUAAAUACAGUAUUUUACACAUUUUACUGACAGACAGUUUACUAAUGUUUUCAUGCAAGAGAGAAGACCAUAUGGGCUGUACAAAAUCUUGCAACAUUGAUGGUCAAAGUGCAGCUAAAAAUGUUUUCAAGCUACAGUAGCCAACAGGAGCGUUGCUGUGGGAAGCACAGUAUCCCAAGUUCUUCCGCUCUUCUCAUCUACUUUACUCAAGUGGAAAACUGCAUCACCUGACAGCCCACCUACAAAACACCCUCUCUUGGAGUUUCCGUGACAACAGUUCUAACUUUGCAGAUCCUGAUGACACCACCUACCUCCCCAGUAUUUCUGAACUUGUUGACACCAUCACUGAACAAGCACCAGCCAAGGCAGUGCAGGACACGGUGAAGUACUUGGUGUAGGAGGACUGCCUCCUGGAGCUUUUUAAAAUCUGCCCCACCUGCUCCAGACUCUGCAAAGUUGACACGUUUGUU
Molecule: long non-coding RNA, 688 nt
Organism: Labrus mixtus (cuckoo wrasse)
Lineage: Eukaryota; Metazoa; Chordata; Actinopteri; Labriformes; Labridae
Exons: 3
Source: RefSeq, a predicted model, not a curated record